GAUUGAACGCUGGCGGCAUGCUUUACACAUGCAAGUCGGACGGCAGCACAGAGAAGCUUGCUUCUUGGGUGGCGAGUGGCGAACGGGUGAGUAACGCAUCGGAACGUACCGAGUAGUGGGGGAUAACUGUCCGAAAGGAUGGCUAAUACCGCAUACGCUUUGAGAAGGAAAGCGGGGGAUCUUCGGACCUCGCGCUAUUCGAGCGGCCGAUGUCUGAUUAGCUGGUUGGUAGGGUAAAGGCCUACCAAGGCGACGAUCAGUAGCGGGUCUGAGAGGAUGAUCCGCCACACUGGGACUGAGACACGGCCCAGACUCCUACGGGAGGCAGCAGUGGGGAAUUUUGGACAAUGGGCGCAAGCCUGAUCCAGCCAUGCCGCGUGUCUGAAGAAGGCCUUCGGGUUGUAAAGGACUUUUGUCAGGGAAGAAAAGCUUGAGGCUAAUACCCUUGAGUGAUGACGGUACCUGAAGAAUAAGCACCGGCUAACUAC
Molecule: ribosomal RNA, 488 nt
Filed under: Neisseria sp. 'ARUP UnID 437'
Lineage: Bacteria; Pseudomonadati; Pseudomonadota; Betaproteobacteria; Neisseriales; Neisseriaceae
Description: bacterial SSU rRNA
Rfam family: Bacterial small subunit ribosomal RNA
Source: RNAcentral